GCCACCUUAGCUCAGUCGGUAGAGCGACGCACUCGUAAUGCGUAGGUCACCAGUUCGAUUCUGGUAGGUGGCU
This 73-nucleotide transfer RNA is filed under the name Propionibacterium sp. Its description in RNAcentral is "tRNA-Thr". It matches the Rfam family "tRNA". Rfam says of the family: Transfer RNA (tRNA) molecules are approximately 80 nucleotides in length. Their secondary structure includes four short double-helical elements and three loops (D, anti-codon, and T loops). Lineage: Bacteria; Bacillati; Actinomycetota; Actinomycetes; Propionibacteriales; Propionibacteriaceae. The record is from RNAcentral.